This is a long non-coding RNA of Astatotilapia calliptera (eastern happy), 687 nucleotides long. Lineage: Eukaryota; Metazoa; Chordata; Actinopteri; Cichliformes; Cichlidae. The record is from Ensembl.
GUUGGAGGAAACAGUGAGAGAAGAGUGGGGCUGCAGAGCUCUUUUCAUCAGAACUGCAACACUGGGUCCUGAGGCCCUGUUGGAGCAUAGCCAGAACCACAAAGCAGCAAACACAGAGGUGCAUUUUCCCUCUUUGAGGAGCAGUGAUAUGGACACCAGGUGUGGUGACGCUAAGAUGUCUGGACUGUUUUCAAGGAGCUGUUGCUGGGUUGGUGGUGGCCAAUUCCCAAAAGUCUGCUGCUGCAAAAAAAAAAAAAAAAAAAGAAAAAGGAAAAAUGAAUGACCCAAGAAAACCCAGAGGAAGGGGGAAAAAGUGUCAUGAAGGCACCUUUUGCAAAAAAUCUGAGCCUGCUUUUGAAAAAUUAGUUCUGGAUGCUAACAUUACACUUUAUACUGACCCAGGUUAUUUAGCUGGUGCCAAUUUGAAUAUAGUUUCAAUCAGACAAAUUAUACCUGCUGUUAAAUUUAACAUUUCUUUAGAUUUGAAUCCACCUGCUAUCAGAUUAGAUGUUUUUUUUUCUCUUCUUGCAGCCUCUCACCCCCCUCAGACACACAAUGAUGCCCUUAUAUUCCUGGCUCUCAAUUUUUCUAUUUAUACCCACUGAGAUGAGCAAUGAGCCCCAGGCAUCCCUCACUCACUAACCAAAGUACACGUUGACUCACACUGGCACAGAAACACAAUUUCUC